GACGAACGCUGGCGGCGUGCCUAAUACAUGCAAGUCGAACGCACGAAGUUGAAGAGCUUGCUCUUUAACCAAGUGAGUGGCGGACGGGUGAGUAACACGUGGGUAACCUGCCCAUUAGAGGGGGAUAACAUUCGGAAACGGAUGCUAAUACCGCAUAGUUUCAGGAAUCGCAUGAUUCUUGAAGGAAAGGUGGCUUCGGCUACCACUAAUGGAUGGACCCGCGGCGUAUUAGCUAGUUGGUGAGGUAAUGGCUCACCAAGGCAAUGAUACGUAGCCGACCUGAGAGGGUGAUCGGCCACACUGGGACUGAGACACGGCCCAGACUCCUACGGGAGGCAGCAGUAGGGAAUCUUCCGCAAUGGACGGAAGUCUGACCGAGCAACGCCGCGUGAGUGAAGAAGGUUUUCGGAUCGUAAAGCUCUGUUGUAAGAGAAGAACGAGUGUGAGAGUGGAAAGUUCACACUGUGACGGUAUCUUACCAGAAAGGGACGGCUAACUACGUGCCAGCAGCCGCGGUAAUACGUAGGUCCCGAGCGUUGUCCGGAUUUAUUGGGCGUAAAGCGAGCGCAGGCGGUUAGAUAAGUCUGAAGUUAAAGGCUGUGGCUUAACCAUAGUACGCUUUGGAAACUGUUUAACUUGAGUGCAAGAGGGGAGAGUGGAAUUCCAUGUGUAGCGGUGAAAUGCGUAGAUAUAUGGAGGAACACCGGUGGCGGAAGCGGCUCUCUGGGCUUGUAACUGACGCUGAGGCUCGAAAGCGUGGGGGAGCAAACAGG
This 773-nucleotide ribosomal RNA is filed under the name uncultured Streptococcus sp. RNAcentral describes it as "bacterial SSU rRNA". It matches the Rfam family "Bacterial small subunit ribosomal RNA", at positions 28 to 776 of the family's 1533-position model. The record is from RNAcentral. Lineage: Bacteria; Bacillati; Bacillota; Bacilli; Lactobacillales; Streptococcaceae.